GUUGUAUGGUUAAGUGACUAAGCGUACACGGUGGAUGCCUUGGCAGUCAGAGGCGAUGAAGGACGUAUUAACUUGCGAUAAGCCCAGAUUAGGUAGUAAAAACCAUUUGAGUCUGGGAUUUCCGAAUGGGGAAACCCAAUACCAUAAGGUAUUACUGUUGAGUGAAUACAUAGCUCAACAGGGCGAACCGGGGGAACUGAAACAUCUAAGUACCCCGAGGAAAAGAAAUCAACCGAGAUUCCGAAAGUAGCGGCGAGCGAAAUUGGACUAGCCCUUAAGCUUUACACGCGUUAGACGAACAGCCUGGAAAGGCCGACGAUACAGGGUGAUAGUCCCGUAGUUGACGACGUGUGUUCAGUGAAAUCGAGUAGGGCGGGACACGUGAUAUCCUGUCUGAAUAUGGGGGGACCAUCCUCCAAGGCUAAAUACUACUGACUGACCGAUAGUGAACCAGUACCGUGAGGGAAAGGCGAAAAGAACCCCUGUGAGGGGAGUGAAAUAGAACCUGAAACCGUGUACGUACAAGCAGUAGGAGCAGGCUUGUCCUGUGACUGCGUACCUUUUGUAUAAUGGGUCAGCGACUUAUAUUCAGUGGCAAGGUUAACCAUCUAGGGGAGCCGUAGGGAAACCGAGUCUUAACUGGGCGUUCAGUCUCUGGAUAUAGACCCGAAACCAGGUGAUCUAGCCAUGGGCAGGUUGAAGGUUGAGUAACAUCAACUGGAGGACCGAACCGACUAAUGUUGAAAAAUUAGCGGAUGACUUGUGGCUAGGGGUGAAAGGCCAAUCAAACCUGGAGAUAGCUGGUUCUCCCCGAAAGCUAUUUAGGUAGCGCCUCGGACGAAUACUACUGGGGGUAGAGCACUGUUAAGGCUAGGGGGUCAUCCCGACUUACCAACCCUUUGCAAACUCCGAAUACCAGUAAGUACUAUCCGGGAGACACACGGCGGGUGCUAACGUCCGUCGUGGAGAGGGAAACAACCCAGACCGCCAGCUAAGGUCCCAAAUUACUACUAAGUGGGAAACGAUGUGGGAAGGCUCAGACAGCCAGGAUGUUGGCUUAGAAGCAGCCAUCAUUUAAAGAAAGCGUAAUAGCUCACUGGUCGAGUCGGCCUGCGCGGAAGAUGUAACGGGGCUAAGUAGUAAACCGAAGCUGCGGCAAUAUACUUUU
RNAcentral lists this ribosomal RNA (1168 nucleotides) under Vibrio alginolyticus. Its description in RNAcentral is "bacterial LSU rRNA". It matches the Rfam family "Bacterial large subunit ribosomal RNA", at positions 1 to 1217 of the family's 2925-position model. The record is from RNAcentral. Lineage: Bacteria; Pseudomonadati; Pseudomonadota; Gammaproteobacteria; Vibrionales; Vibrionaceae.